CUGAAGGCCGCGUCCGGGUCAAUUGCGGAAUGCAACACCCGAUCUCCCUCAUCACCCCCGACGGAAUGUCGGUGGGCGAGGGAGAGCGCGUCACCGUCAG
Non-coding RNA from Halogranum salarium B-1, 100 nucleotides. NCBI's taxonomy places the organism in Archaea, Methanobacteriati, Methanobacteriota, Halobacteria, Halobacteriales, Haloferacaceae. The record is from Rfam.